Long non-coding RNA from Carassius gibelio (silver crucian carp), 840 nucleotides. RefSeq lists it as uncharacterized. NCBI's taxonomy places the organism in Eukaryota, Metazoa, Chordata, Actinopteri, Cypriniformes, Cyprinidae. The transcript has 4 exons. The record is from RefSeq and is a predicted model, not a curated record.
CACACAUUAUUAUUUAGAACAAUCAGACAAGUUCUUUUAACUAUGUUCACAUUUGUCAUGUUCAUUAAAAGACCAAAGCUCAUGGAAGAACCAUCAGAAGACCCUUGACGAACAACUAAAGAGCAACUACAGGAUGUAAAGUCUACCCUUAAUAAGUUAACAUGAAGACAUGAAGCAGAAAAAUGUGGUUGUGACUGAAGGCGACACAGGGAAGUGACAAAUAAGAUUGUUUUAAUUAAACAAAUUGCUUGAUCUGCUUUUAUGGCUAUUUAUUUAUUUAUUUGUUCUUAAAGCCUGUAAUAAGCAUGUAAUACAUUUGCUGUUACAAUAUUAGACAAUAUUUAUGUUAAAAUAAAAGUUUGUGACUCCUACUGAUUAGAUCCAAAAAUAAUUAUCAUAUAUACAUUUAAUAUAUAGUUAAACAAUAUAUGCUUCAUUUGUAAUUUUUUUUUUUUUGUUAGCCGUCUUUUUUUAUUUAUUCAUAUACAUUUUUUACUUCUAGUCUUUGGAGGACCUCCGUUAGAUGGCGCACCCUUUUGUAAUCAGUUGUGGAAAAGCAGAUGCGCAAUGGGUACAUUGCACUGUCUCCCUCGUCAACCCUCAGUGGGUCAAAUUAAGACCCCUGUCCAGUGUGUGGAAAACCCUAAAGGUUCAGGUGGAGUUAUAAUAUAUGACCAGAUGAUGUUCGCCAUGAACAAACAACACUUGGUGGCAGUUCUUCUCCCUAGAGGUGAAAAACUCUGUCAGACCAAUUCUGUUGUAAUAGAAAGUGAAUACGAGGAAGAUGAAUACCUCCCAAGACCUUAACAACAUCUCACCCUUUAUACUUCAAAUAAAGGC